GAUGAACGCUGGCGGCGUGCCUAAUACAUGCAGGUCGAGCGAACAGACGAGGAGCUUGCUCCUCUGACGUUAGCGGCGGACGGGUGAGUAACACGUGGAUAACCUACCUAUAAGACCGGGAUAACUUCGGGAAACCGGAGCUAAUACCGGAUAAUAUAUUGAACCGCAUGGUUCAAUAGUGAAAGACGGUUUUGCUGUCACUUAUAGAUGGAUCCGCGCCGCAUUAGCUAGUUGGUAAGGUAACGGCUUACCAAGGCAACGAUGCGUAGCCGACCUGAGAGGGUGAUCGGCCACACUGGAACUGAGACACGGUCCAGACUCCUACGGGAGGCAGCAGUAGGGAAUCUUCCGCAAUGGGCGAAAGCCUGACGGAGCAACGCCGCGUGAGUGAUGAAGGUCUUCGGAUCGUAAAACUCUGUUAUUAGGGAAGAACAAAUGUGUAAGUAACUAUGCACGUCUUGACGGUACCUAAUCAGAAAGCCACGGCUAACUACGUG
Molecule: ribosomal RNA, 497 nt
Filed under: uncultured bacterium
Lineage: Bacteria
Description: partial 16S ribosomal RNA
Rfam family: Bacterial small subunit ribosomal RNA
Source: RNAcentral